Molecule: unclassified non-coding RNA, 223 nt
Filed under: uncultured Actinomycetes bacterium
Lineage: Bacteria; Bacillati; Actinomycetota; Actinomycetes
Description: uncultured actinobacterium contains 16S-23S intergenic spacer region
Source: RNAcentral
UCCGAGUUGACCCCGGCAGUCUCCCAUGAGUCCCCGGCAUAACCCGCUGGCAACAUGGAACGAGGGUUGCGCUCGUUGCGGGACUUAACCCAACAUCUCACGACACGAGCUGACGACAGCCAUGCACCACCUGCACACCAACCACAAGGGAACGCCUAUCUCUAGACGCGUCUGGCGCAUGUCAAACCCAGGUAAGGUGGGGAUGACGUCACACAGACUAUAC